This 373-nucleotide ribosomal RNA is filed under the name Escherichia coli. RNAcentral describes it as "bacterial SSU rRNA". It matches the Rfam family "Bacterial small subunit ribosomal RNA", at positions 1050 to 1423 of the family's 1533-position model. The record is from RNAcentral. Lineage: Bacteria; Pseudomonadati; Pseudomonadota; Gammaproteobacteria; Enterobacterales; Enterobacteriaceae.
UGUCGUCAGCUCGUGUUGUGAAAUGUUGGGUUAAGUCCCGCAACGAGCGCAACCCUUAUCCUUUGUUGCCAGCGGUCCGGCCGGGAACUCAAAGGAGACUGCCAGUGAUAAACUGGAGGAAGGUGGGGAUGACGUCAAGUCAUCAUGGCCCUUACGACCAGGGCUACACACGUGCUACAAUGGCGCAUACAAAGAGAAGCGACCUCGCGAGAGCAAGCGGACCUCAUAAAGUGCGUCGUAGUCCGGAUUGGAGUCUGCAACUCGACUCCAUGAAGUCGGAAUCGCUAGUAAUCGUGGAUCAGAAUGCCACGGUGAAUACGUUCCCGGGCCUUGUACACACCGCCCGUCACACCAUGGGAGUGGGUUGCAAAAG